UGCUGGUAUCUCCGGUGGUCAUAUUAACCCGGCGGUCAGUUUUGGACUGUUCUUGGCGAGGAAGGUUUCACUAAUCAGGGCUGUGGCUUACAUGGUGGCUCAGUGCUUGGGUGCAAUUUGUGGUGUUGGGUUGGUGAAAGCAUUUAUGAAGCAUCCAUAUAAUGGCCUCGGAGGUGGUGCAAACACAGUGGCACCUGGCUACAACAAAGGCACUGCUUUGGGUGCUGAGAUCAUCGGCACUUUUGUACUUGUCUACACUGUUUUCUCUGCAACUGACCCUAAGAGGAGUGCACGUGACUCUCACGUCCCUGUGUUGGCUCCUCUUCCAAUUGGGUUUGCUG
Molecule: unclassified non-coding RNA, 341 nt
Filed under: Hevea brasiliensis (rubber tree)
Lineage: Eukaryota; Viridiplantae; Streptophyta; Magnoliopsida; Malpighiales; Euphorbiaceae
Source: RNAcentral